UGGAUCCAGACUUUGAUUAUGGCUCAGGAUGAACGCUAGCUACAGGCUUAACACAUGCAAGUCGAGGGGAAACGACAUCGAAAGCUUGCUUUUGAUGGGCGUCGACCGGCGCACGGGUGAGUAACGCGUAUCCAACCUGCCCACCACUUGGGGAUAACCUUGCGAAAGUAAGACUAAUACCCAAUGAUAUCUCUAGAAGACAUCUGAAAGAGAUUAAAGAUUUAUCGGUGAUGGAUGGGGAUGCGUCUGAUUAGCUUGUUGGCGGGGUAACGGCCCACCAAGGCAACGAUCAGUAGGGGUCCUGAGAGGAAGGUCCCCCACAUUGGAACUGAGACACGGUCCAAACUCCUACGGGAGGCAGCAGUGAGGAAUAUUGGUCAAUGGACGAGAGUCUGAACCAGCCUAGUAGCGUGCAGGAUGACGGCCCUAUGGGUUGUAAACUGCUUUUAUAAGGGAAUAAAGUGAGUCUCGUGAGACUUUUUGCAUGUACCUUAUGAAUA
RNAcentral lists this ribosomal RNA (500 nucleotides) under uncultured Bacteroidota bacterium. RNAcentral describes it as "bacterial SSU rRNA". It matches the Rfam family "Bacterial small subunit ribosomal RNA", at positions 1 to 488 of the family's 1533-position model. The record is from RNAcentral. Lineage: Bacteria; Pseudomonadati; Bacteroidota.